Molecule: ribosomal RNA, 497 nt
Filed under: uncultured bacterium
Lineage: Bacteria
Description: partial 16S ribosomal RNA
Rfam family: Bacterial small subunit ribosomal RNA
Source: RNAcentral
GAUGAACGCUGGCGGCGUGCCUAAUACAUGCAAGUCGAGCGCACAGACGAGGAGCUUGCUCCUCUUACGUUAGCGGCGAACGGGUGAGUAACACGUGGAUAACCUACCUUUUAGCCUGGGAUAACUUCGGGAAACCGUAGCUAAUACCGGAUAAUAUAUUGAACCACAUGGUUCAAUAGUGAAAGACGGUUUUGCUGUCACUUAUAGAUGGAUCCGCUCCGCAUUAGCUAUUGGUGAAGGUAACGGCUUACCAAGCCAACGAUGCGUAGCCGACCUGAGAGGGUGACCGGCCACACGGGACCUGGAACCGGGUCCAGACCCCUACGGGGGGAAGCGUAAGGGAAUCUUCCGCAAGGGGCGAAAGCCUGACGGAGAAACGCGGCGGGAGGGAGGAAGGUCUUCGGAUCGUAAACCUCUGUGAUUAGGGAAGAACAAAUGGGUAAGUAACUAUGCACGUCUUGACGGUACCUAAUCAGAAAGCCACGGCUAACUACGUG